Molecule: non-coding RNA, 46 nt
Filed under: Schistosoma curassoni
Lineage: Eukaryota; Metazoa; Platyhelminthes; Trematoda; Strigeidida; Schistosomatidae
Source: RNAcentral
GCACUGCUGAGGAGUCCCACAAUAGGAUGUAACGACCGUCCAGUGC